Molecule: long non-coding RNA, 683 nt
Filed under: Pan troglodytes (chimpanzee)
Lineage: Eukaryota; Metazoa; Chordata; Mammalia; Primates; Hominidae
Description: lincRNA
Source: RNAcentral
UUUGCUCUCCUGAUGAAGACAAAGACUGUUGAUCCACUGAACCCACCCAGACAGUAUGUGGUUUCUUGAAUGUCCUACGUACAUUUUGAUGGAUUACCCAAGGACUAUCUGAUGAAGAAUAAUAGAGACAUAUAAAUACAUAUGGGCUACAUCUUGGCAAAAUAAAGUAAUCCUGAAGUAAAUUCUAAGGAUGUUCUGAAUUGACACCUCUUAAGCACAACCGAAUGUCCUGGUGGCUUUGCCUCCCACUGGGGCUUUUUGGCUCUUGUCUGGCCCCAGCGGCUGCUGCAGCUCUGUCUGAAUUCACACAGGAGCAACAUGAUGGUGCUCAGCCCUCGCCGAAGUGUCUUGCUGAAGAGUUGGGAGAUGCUUGGACUAUUCAGAUAGAGGCCAACUGGAAGUACAGGGCAGUCAACACAAACCAGAGAGGCAAACUUUUGGCCAGUGAGACAUGGAAAGGGAGAAGAAAUAUAUUCUUCUUUCUCCCCUAGAGUGAGGACCACCAACCUGAGUCCCAGUCACCUGGAAUCCCCUCAGACGAGCGUCCCUUGAGAUCCAGCACAUAGCAGCCAGCGUGCUGAUGAUUCCUUCCUGCCUACUGGCUCCUUCUUAUUUCUGCCUCCGUGGAACUGUAUUCUCUAAUCAAUAUUAGCACAUACGUAUUGCCCUAGACUGUACCUCCU